UCCAAGUGUAGCGGUGAAAUGCGUAGAGAUUUGGAGGAAUACCAGUGGCGAAGGCGGCCCCCUGUUCUCGCAUACUGACGCUCAGGUGCGAAAGCGUGGGGAGCAAACAGGAUUAGAUACCCUGGUAGUCCACGCCGUAAACGAUGUCUACUAGAUGUUCGAGGUCUUGUACUUUGAGUAUCGCAGCUAACGCAUUAAGUAGACCGCCUGGGGAGUACGGUCGCAAGAUUAAAACUCAAAUGAAUUGACGGGGGCCCGCACAAGCGGUGGAGCAUGUGGUUUAAUUCGACGCAACGCGAAGAACCUUACCUACUCUUGACAUCUAGCGAAGAUUGUAGAGAUACGAUUGUGCCUUCGGGAACGCUAAGACAGGUGCUGCAUGGCUGUCGUCAGCUCGUGUUGUGAAAUGUUGGGUUAAGUCCCGCAACGAGCGCAACCCUUAUCCUUAGUUGCCAGCACGUAAUGGUGGGAACUCUAGGGGAGACUGCCGGUGAUAAACCGGGAGGAGGGUGGGGGACGACGUCAAGUCAUCAUGGGCCCUUACGAGUAGGGCUACACAC
This 560-nucleotide ribosomal RNA is filed under the name Alishewanella solinquinati. RNAcentral describes it as "bacterial SSU rRNA". It matches the Rfam family "Bacterial small subunit ribosomal RNA", at positions 668 to 1221 of the family's 1533-position model. The record is from RNAcentral. Lineage: Bacteria; Pseudomonadati; Pseudomonadota; Gammaproteobacteria; Alteromonadales; Alteromonadaceae.